RNAcentral lists this ribosomal RNA (118 nucleotides) under Frullania chevalieri. RNAcentral's name for it is "partial 5.8S ribosomal RNA". It matches the Rfam family "5.8S ribosomal RNA", at positions 40 to 154 of the family's 154-position model. Rfam says of the family: 5.8S ribosomal RNA (5.8S rRNA) is a component of the large subunit of the eukaryotic ribosome. It is transcribed by RNA polymerase I as part of the 45S precursor that also contains 18S and 28S rRNA. Functionally, it is thought that 5.8S rRNA may be involved in ribosome translocation. Lineage: Eukaryota; Viridiplantae; Streptophyta; Jungermanniopsida; Porellales; Frullaniaceae. The record is from RNAcentral.
UGAGAACGCAGCGAAAUGCGAUACCUAGUGUGAAUUGCAGAAUUCCGCGAAUCAUCGAGUUUUUGAACGCAAGUUGCGCCCGAGGCUCGUACCGAGGGCAUGUCUGUCUGAGCGUCCA